UACGGGGGGGGCAAGCGUUGUUCGGAAUUACUGGGCGUAAAGGGCUCGUAGGCGGCCAACUAAGUCGGAUGUGAAAUCCCCAGGCUUAACCUGGGAACUGCAUCCGAUACUGGAUGGCUUGAAUUCGGGAGAGGGAUGCGGAAUUCCAGGUGUAGCGGUGAAAUGCGUAGAUAUCUGGAGGAACACCGGUGGCGAAGGCGGGUCUCUGGGCCGGAUGACUGACGCUGGAGGAGCGAAAGCGUGGGGAGCGAACAGG
This 256-nucleotide ribosomal RNA is filed under the name uncultured bacterium. RNAcentral's name for it is "partial 16S ribosomal RNA". It matches the Rfam family "Bacterial small subunit ribosomal RNA", at positions 524 to 776 of the family's 1533-position model. The record is from RNAcentral.